GAAAGCAGCAUGGGGACUAAUUGGGAAGAGGAUCAGUGAGAAUGGGAGGGGGAAAAGGAGGGUAGUAGGAAGUGUGAGAUGAUAAAUAUUGUAUCCAUCUACGAAAAUGUCAGAUUGAAGCCCAUUGUUAUGUAAGUAUGCAUGACAUAUAAGAGCAAAGAAGACUCCUAAAUAUCCAUAGCAAUACAAAGCACUGUUGGAGGUUCCAUAAUUCCUGAUGUCAAAUCACACUAGAGCCGUAGUAAUAGAAUAAUCAUAUUCCUGGCACAAAAGCAGACAUGUAACCAAUACAGUAGAAAAUAGAACUCAGAAAUAAAUUCAUACAGCUGUAGCCACCUGAUUUUUUUUUUUUUUACAAACGUCAAAAAUCAUAUAUUGGGAAAGAAGUAAACUCUUCAGUAAAUGAUGCUGAGAACAGUAAAUAUCAGGACACCAAAUGGUAAAACUAGAGCCCUUUACAAAGAUCAGCUGCAAAUGGCUCACAGACCUUAGCAGGUCCUGACAGAGCCUAAAACCUCGAAACUGCCAGUGGAAAAUCCAGGCAAUGUAUUUCAAGAUACAGAUAUGGGAAGGAAUCCAACUACACAGGGCAGAUCUGAGAACUGGCAAGUAUGAGUAUGUGAAGUCAAGCAGCUUCUGCAAGACAAAGCAUCUUCAUGGCAAAUAGGCCCCUAUGCAAGGGAAGAAGUCUGUUCCAGCCAUUCAUCUGCUAGGAGAUCAAUGUAUUCACACAGAGCUACAAAACUUCAACAUGAGUGCUCCUUACAAAUCAUCCAGUUUGAGAAAUGGGCUAAUAAAAUGAACUGACAGUUCUCAAAAGAAGUAAGAGUAGGCAAUAAGCAUUUGAAAAUGUGUUCAAAACUCUUACCCAUCAGGGAGAACAAAUUAUAACUACUUGCAUUUCAUCUCUAGAAAACAAACAAAAAAUGCUGCUGAGGAUGUGGGGAGAGGAGACUCGUAGACAUUGCUGGUGGGAGUGUAACCUGCUGCAACUACUGUGUUAGUAUGCGGUUUCCUCCAAAACUGAAAAUACAACUACCAUGGGACCCAGCUGUAUCUCCUCUGGGUGUUUACCCAAAAGACUCCAAGUCAACAUGCAACAGAGAUACCUGCACAUGUUUUUUGCUGCUCCAUUCAUAGUAGCUAAGCCAUGGGACCAGCCCUGUACAUCUGUUCACCCAUGAGUACAUAAAGAAUAUAUGGCUAACAUACACAGUGGAGUUUAUUCAUCCAUGACAAAACAAAAAUGAAAUCAUAACAUUUUCAGGAAUGUAGAUGGAGUAGGAGUUCCUGGUAUGCAAAAUAAACUGGACAGACCAAACUUAUGUUUAUUCAGUUACAUGAUGUUAUUGUGCUAUUUGAACAACAGGAAGAACAAGAAAACUCAGAGAAGAGUUUCCAGAGAUGGGAUUUAAAGAGGAAGAACCAAAGAUUCGAGAUCAAAAGCAAGGACUCGGUUGGAUUUUUAUUCCCCAGUGUGUAACAAGGCCAAACACCCAAUAUGUAG
Long non-coding RNA from Mastomys coucha (southern multimammate mouse), 1507 nucleotides. RefSeq lists it as uncharacterized. NCBI's taxonomy places the organism in Eukaryota, Metazoa, Chordata, Mammalia, Rodentia, Muridae. The record is from RefSeq and is a predicted model, not a curated record. The transcript has 3 exons.